CACAUCAGGUUUUUAAAGAAUGAAGUGGAACGGCUGAAGAAGCAACUGAGAGCUGCUCAGUUACAGCAUUCAGAGAAAAUGGCACAGUAUCUGGAGGAGGAACGUCACAUGAGAGAAGAGAACUUGAGGCUCCAGAGGAAGCUGCAGAGGGAGAUGGAGAGAAGAGAAGCCCUCUGUCGACAGCUCUCCGAGAGUGAGUCCAGCUUAGAAAUGGACGACGAAAGGUAUUUUAAUGAGAUGUCUGCACAAGGAUUAAGACCUCGCACUGUGUCCAGCCCGAUCCCUUACACACCUUCUCCGAGUUCAAGCAGGCCUAUAUCACCUGGUCUAUCAUAUGCAAGUCACACGGUUGGUUUCACGCCACCAACUUCACUGACUAGAGCUGGAAUGUCUUAUUACAAUUCCCCGGGUCUUCACGUGCAGCACAUGGGAACAUCCCAUGGUAUCACAAGGCCUUCACCACGGAGAAGCAACAGUCCUGACAAAUUCAAACGGCCCACGCCGCCUCCAUCUCCCAACACACAGACCCCAGUCCAGCCACCUCCGCCUCCACCUCCGCCACCCAUGCAGCCCACGGUCCCCUCAGCAGCCACCUCGCAGCCUACUCCUUCGCAACAUUCGGCGCACCCCUCCUCCCAGCCUUAAUGCAUGAGCUUAGUCUGAAUUUCAAGUUGGGACUCAUCCAAUGGAGCCGUCUACUCAACGCCAAAGGCUUCCUUCUCUGGCAUAUUUGGAUAUGACUUAUUUGCACUGAGGUUAUCUAGGCUUCACUAUCCAUUGUGUUGUAAAUGUUUGUCAGAAAUGCAGCCAGUGUUGUGGGUCUACAACACUAACCAGACGACUUUUUCCAUCAGUGUUUUACUUGAAUCUUCAUGUACGUCCAUUCCCUGGCUGGAACCUUCGCUGUUUGGUAUUUGGUAUUUCAGCAGCAGUGUGCAAUUUUUGCUUGGCCCAGAGCUUCAUUCUCCUGGCUUUUAGGUUUGUAAAAGAAAAAGGGAUAUCUUUUUUAUAUUUUUUUCCAUGAAUCUGCAGAAAAUUACUGAGCUGUUGUUACCCUCCUCUCAUUAUAAUAGUGUUUACCAAACAUACCAAUAAUUCAGCACUACAAUUCAGACCUUUGAAAAUCUGGCUUUCAGUGUAGAACAGAAAGUUAGAUGAAUCAGUGCCCAAGACAUAUUUUCUGUUUAACAGAACUUUCUACAGAUACAUUUUUUACAGGUUAUUUUCAUUGUGUUAUUGACAUCCAUGUCUCUCGUAAAACAGAUGGCCCAAAGUAAUGAAUCAUGUGGCUGUACCUUCUCCACAUAAAUGGGAUGGAUAAUUAUCGUAUAUUAAGAUGUGAUUCUCUUUUUUAUCCUUAAUGUUAAUCUACUUAACCUGGCCCCCUCUAACAUGAGUCGAUAAAUGUUGUCCUACUCACCGGUGGUUUCAAUGGCUAAUUAGAAUGUGUUAUUUGAUUUCUGCUGCAGAAGGCAGUGUGAUUGUAACAAAAACAAUGCGGCUUCCCCCUUUCGUACUUCAUUUGUGUUCUCUUAAAAUAGAGUUUGAACAAAUAUUUUAAAGGUGCAAAAUACCAUUAGAAAAUACUAUUUGAAAUGGACAUUAUCGCAUUAUCUUGGCAUAAUGGCCAGAAAAUAUUGUAUUGCUUGGCAGAAAAGAAAAUAAGGUCUAAAGGAAAGUAGCACAUUAGCAUUGAUGGCUGUUCAUUUCACCCAGUAUAAGCAAGUGCAGUGUACAAAGAAGUAUAUUCUGAAUACAUUAUUUCCAUUCAUUUAGCACAAAUAAAUCAUUUGGUUUCAC
This 1800-nucleotide long non-coding RNA is filed under the name Homo sapiens (human). RNAcentral describes it as "long non-coding RNA NONHSAT157045.1". The record is from RNAcentral. Lineage: Eukaryota; Metazoa; Chordata; Mammalia; Primates; Hominidae.